GAUGAACGCUGGCGGCGUGCUUAACACAUGCAAGUCGAACGCUGAAGCUCUGCUAUUGUUUGGGGGAUGAGUGGCGAACGGGUGAGUAACGCGGGAGUAGUCUGCCGCCGUCUUUGGGAUAAUGCGCGGAAACGGGUGGUAAUACUGGAUAGUUAAUGGUCUUUGCAUGGUGGUUGGUGGAAAGGGUUGUUGUGGUGGGGGAUGUGCUCGCGGACUAUCAGCUUGUUGGUGGGGUGAUGGCGGAGCAAGGCUUUGACGGGUAGCCGGCCUGAGAUGGUGAGCGGUCACGUUGGGACUGCGAUACGGCGCAGACUACUACGCGAGGAAGCCGAGGGGAAGCUUGAGCAGUGGGCGCAAGGCUAAUGCAGCGAUGCCGCGUGAGCGAUGGCGGCCUUCGGAUUGUGAACCUCUUUCGCUCAUGAUCAAGCCGCAACAAUGGUUGUAGUGAGGGUAGUGGGUAAAGAAGCUCCGGCUAACUACGUG
Molecule: ribosomal RNA, 483 nt
Filed under: uncultured bacterium
Lineage: Bacteria
Description: partial 16S ribosomal RNA
Rfam family: Bacterial small subunit ribosomal RNA
Source: RNAcentral